CGCCUCCCAAAAGGUAACGGAGGCGCUCAAAGGUUCUCUCAGUACGGUCGGAAAUCGUACGUAGAGUGUAAAGGCAAAAGAGAGCUUGAUUGCAAGACAUACAGGUCGAGCAAGGAUGAAAAUCGGACUUAGUGAUCCGGUGGUUCUGCGUGGAAGGGCCAUCGCUCAACGGAUAAAAGCUACCCUGGGGAUAACAGGCUUAUCUCCCCCAAGAGUCCACAUCGACGGGGAGGUUUGGCACCUCGAUGUCGGCUCAUCACAUCCUGGGGCUGUAGUAGGUCCCAAGGGUUGGGCUGUUCGCCCAUUAAAGUGGUACGCGAGCUGGGUUCAGAACGUCGUGAGACAGUUCGGUCCCUAUCCGUCGCAGGCGUAGGAAAUUUGAGAAGACCUGUCCUUAGUACGAGAGGACCGGGAUGGACGUACCUCUGGUGUACCAGUUGUCCUGCCAAGGGCAUGGCUGGGUAGCUAUGUACGGAAUGGAUAAGCGCUGAAAGCAUCUAAGCGCGAAGCCAACUUCAAGAUAAGAUUUCCCACCGCAAGGGUAAGACUCCAGAAAGACUAUCUGGUUGAUAGGUCGAAGGUGUAAGUGCAGCAAUGUAUUUAGCUUAUCGAUACUAAUAGGUCGAGGACUUGACCAA
Molecule: ribosomal RNA, 638 nt
Filed under: Clostridioides difficile
Lineage: Bacteria; Bacillati; Bacillota; Clostridia; Peptostreptococcales; Peptostreptococcaceae
Description: partial 23S ribosomal RNA
Rfam family: Bacterial large subunit ribosomal RNA
Source: RNAcentral